GGCUGGUCUGAAGGCAGUGAGUUAUCUCAAUUGAUUGUUCACAGUCAGUUACAGAUCCAGCUCUUUGUUCUGCUCUUUGCCCCCUUCUCACUACUGCACUUGACUAGUCUUAU
Molecule: Y RNA, 113 nt
Filed under: Cebus imitator (Panamanian white-faced capuchin)
Lineage: Eukaryota; Metazoa; Chordata; Mammalia; Primates; Cebidae
Description: Y RNA (ENSCCAG00000010857.1)
Rfam family: Y RNA
About the family: Y RNAs are components of the Ro ribonucleoprotein particle (Ro RNP), in association with Ro60 and La proteins.
Source: Rfam by way of RNAcentral